Molecule: ribosomal RNA, 389 nt
Filed under: uncultured Omnitrophica bacterium
Lineage: Bacteria; Pseudomonadati; Candidatus Omnitrophota
Description: bacterial SSU rRNA
Rfam family: Bacterial small subunit ribosomal RNA
Source: RNAcentral
ACGACUCGUUAAGCCGAGUGCCUAUACAGGUGUUGCAUGGGCUGUCGUCAGCUCGUGCCGUGAGGUGUUGGGUUAAGUCCCGCAACGAGCGCAACCAUCAUCCUUAGUUGCUACCGAGGGAUCCGAAAGGGUCCUGGCGAGCACUCUAAGGAGACUGCCCGUGAUAAACGGGAGGAAGGUGGAGAUGACGUCAAGUCCGUAUGGCCCUUAUACCCUGGGCUACACACGUGUUACAAUGGGAUGUACAGAGCGUUGCCAAACCGCGAGGUGGAGCUAAUCGCAAAAAGCAUCCCCCAGUUCAGAUUGGAGUCUGCAACCCGACUCCAUGAAGUUGGAAUUGCUAGUAACGGCGGAUCAGCUACGCCGCCGUGAAUACGUUCCCGGGCCUU